CCUACGGGGGGCAGCAGUAGGGAAUAUUGCUCAAUGGGGGAAACCCUGAAGCAGCAACGCCGCGUGGAGGAUGAAGGUUUUCGGAUUGUAAACUCCCUUUGUUAGAGAAGAUAAUGACGGUAUCUAACGAAUAAGCACCGGCUAACUCCGUGCCAGCAGCCGCGGUAAUACGGAGGGUGCCAGCGUUACUCGGAAUCACUGGGCGUAAAGGGCGCGUAGGCGGGAUAGCAAGUCAGAUGUGAAAUCCUAUGGCUUAACCAUAGAACUGCAUUUGAAACUGUUAUUCUAGAGUAUGGGAGAGGUAGGUGGAAUGCGUGGUGUAGGGGUAAAAUCCGUAGAGAUCAAGAGGAAUACUCAUUGCGAAGGCGACCUGCUAGAACAUAACUGACGCUGAUGCGCGAAAGCGUGGGGAGCAAACAGGAUUAGAUACCCGGGUAGUC
This 440-nucleotide ribosomal RNA is filed under the name uncultured bacterium. RNAcentral describes it as "partial 16S ribosomal RNA". It matches the Rfam family "Bacterial small subunit ribosomal RNA", at positions 338 to 795 of the family's 1533-position model. The record is from RNAcentral.